This 503-nucleotide ribosomal RNA is filed under the name uncultured bacterium. RNAcentral's name for it is "partial 16S ribosomal RNA". It matches the Rfam family "Bacterial small subunit ribosomal RNA", at positions 30 to 523 of the family's 1533-position model. The record is from RNAcentral.
AUUGAACGCUGGCGGCAGGCUUAACACAUGCAAGUCGAGCGGGGUGAUGGUGCUUGCACUAUCACUUAGCGGCAGACGGGUGAGUAAUGCUUAGGAAUCUGCCUAUUAGUGGGGGACAACAUCUCGAAAGGGAUGCUAAUACCGCAUACGUCCUACGGGAGAAAGCAGGGGAUCACUUGUGACCUUGCGCUAAUAGAUGAGCCUAAGUCGGAUUAGCUAGUUGGUGGGGUAAAGGCCUACCAAGGCGACGAUCUGUAGCGGGUCUGAGAGGAUGAUCCGCCACACUGGGACUGAGGCACGGCCCAGACUCCUACGGGAGGCAGCAGUGGGGAAUAUUGGACAAUGGGGGGAACCCUGAUCUAGCCAUGCCGCGUGUGUGAAGAAGGCCUUAUGGUUGUAAAGCACUUUAAGCGAGGAGGAGGCUCUUUUGGUUAAUACCCAAGAUGAGUGGACGUUACUCGCAGAAUAAGCACCGGCUAACUCUGUGCCAGCAGCCGCGGUAA